UUUUAAGAGUCGUGGGAAUCCAAGCCAAUCAGAGAGAGAGAGAGAGAGGCGACUUCAGAGAGAGAGAGAGAGAGAGAGGGAUUGACACUUGGUGGUUCGAUCUGGAUCGAUUCUUCGUCAUUUUGAUCUUGAAAAGAUGGUUCUGUAUUUGAUUUGAGUGUUUAUCGUAGUUAUUGUUCGAAUCUCUGUAAUUUAAAUCGAUCUAGGGCUCGUUCUUCUUCGUGUUUGGGUGCGGCAUGGCUCAAGUUCUUGAUCACCAGCAAAUGGAAAGAAUGGAGUGGUGAUAGAGAGAUGUUGCUGCCGAUCGAGAGUUGCAUCCAACAGCCUCGGUAUCACAGAACAUUAGUUCAGGGGCUUGAAGCGUGGUGCUGUGUCCUUCAUCAACAGCUCAGCCUUAUCAAUCUCUGCUUCAAGCAGACCAAUUUCAAGUUCAUUCGAUCUCUGCUUCAGUCUAUACACCGCCAUUGAAGAGCUCAAUCGAGUUUGGCCAGGUCAAACUCAUCCAAAAGGCAGUCCUGUUCUUGGAUAUUUGACUGCUGUCAUAUUGAUUGGACCUUAUGGUGUCUCUAUUAUUCAUCAUGUACAUGGAACAAAGGCGAUAGCUGAAUUUGAAGUUGUUUUCUUGAUGUUUAAUAUUGGCCUGGAGCUUUCUGUUGAAAGACUGAGUUCUAUGAAGAAAUAUGUUUUUGGUUUGGGCUCUGCUCAGGUGGUUGGAAAACUUGUUUUUCAAAUAUUAUCAUGUUGAGUUUGAGCAAGCCUAAUAGUUCUGUAUCUGUUCAUAUUCAGUUUGUUCAAAUGAAGACUAGAAUUUUAGCUCUUUGAUAUGUCUCCUUUAAUCUCGAGUACUUAUUUGAUUUUCAUUUUGGUAAUCUUAUUUUUGCGCACUUGAUUGGUAAUUUUUCUUUAGGAUUUUUCAAUCUCCUUUGAUCUUCUUCUAUGUAGGGUUUUGUUCUACAUCGGGUUAUGGCUUUGGAUCGCUCUGAAUGACUUUUAUGAACUUGAUUAGUUGAAAUUUGUAUGUUGGCAUCUAUAUGUAUAAUCAAAUUCUAAAAUUUACGUAGGGUUUAGCUACAUAUGGUAAAACGUGCAGAAAAAUGUAUAGAACUCAUGACUAAAAAAUAGAGAGUAGUUUUUAAUUUAUUUGUGUAAUUUCCUUUUAAAGUUCUGUGUUUUGUAUUUCUGGGAAAUUUUUGUAGCAAAACAUCUGCACGUAACUUAUGGAUUAAAUCAUAUGUUGUAGUUUGGCUGGACAAGGUGAUUUGAUUGUGACUCGUCUCUAGUAUUUUCUAUAUUUCAGUUGUGUGAAAUGUUUUCUUUUUUUUUCUUUUUUUUCUUUUAUUUAUUUUUUUUUGGGCAGGGCAACUUAUAUGAACUCAGGAAAAAUGGGGAAACUUUUCUCCAAAGUUGAAGAAGUUCAAAAUUGAGGCUUCAAAGUGUUGUGUAUCAAUCAUAUUUGUACAUAUUUUUUUUUUGUUUUAGUAUUUUAAAUUUUGAGAUGAUGAUGGAGUAUAUGAAUUUGGUUGUGAUUUUUGUAAUUUCAAUUUUGAUGUGUU
Molecule: non-coding RNA, 1553 nt
Organism: Camellia sinensis
Lineage: Eukaryota; Viridiplantae; Streptophyta; Magnoliopsida; Ericales; Theaceae
Source: RefSeq, a predicted model, not a curated record